This 592-nucleotide ribosomal RNA is filed under the name Chilara taylori (spotted cusk-eel). RNAcentral describes it as "partial 16S ribosomal RNA". It matches the Rfam family "Bacterial large subunit ribosomal RNA", at positions 1808 to 2606 of the family's 2925-position model. Lineage: Eukaryota; Metazoa; Chordata; Actinopteri; Ophidiiformes; Ophidiidae. The record is from RNAcentral.
CAAAAACAUCGCCUCUUGCAAGAUAAGAAUAAGAGGUCCUGCCUGCCCUGUGAGCAUUAUUUCAACGGCCGCAGUAUUUUGACUGUGCGAAGGUAGCGAAAUCACUUGUCUCUUAAAUAGAGACCCGUAUGAAAGGCAAGACGAGGGUUUAACUGUCUCCCUUUUCAGGUCAAUGAAAUUGAUCUCCCCGUGCAGAAGCGGGGAUAAUUACAUUAGACGAGAAGACCCUAUGGAGCUUUAGACACAAAAGCAGCUCACGUCAAAUACUCUCAGACUAAAAGACCGAACUAAAUGCGAUCUGCCCUAAUGUCUUCGGUUGGGGCGACCAAGGGGAAAACAAAACCCCCAUGAGGAAUGAAACUAUAAACCUCCCUUAACCCAGAGCGCCAGCUCUAAGUACCAGAAAUUCUGACCAUUCUGACCCGGCAAGGCCGAUUAACGAACCAAGUUACCCUAGGGAUAACAGCGCAAUCCCCUUCCAGAGUCCCUAUCGACAAGGGGGUUUACGACCUCGAUGUUGGAUCAGGACAUCCUAAUGGUGCAGCCGCUAUUAAGGGUUCGUUUGUUCAACGAUUAAAGUCCUACGUGAUCU